ACGGGGUGCAGCAGGCGCGAAACCUCCGCAAUGUACGAAAGUGCGACGGGGGGAUCCCAAGUGUUAUUCUUAAUAGGAUAACUUUUCAUUAAUGUAAAGAGCUUUUGGAAUAAGGGCUGGGCAAGACCGGUGCCAGCCGCCGCGGUAACACCGGCAGCUCUAGUGGUAGCAGUUUUUAUUGGGCCUAAAGCGUCCGUAGCCGGUUUAAUAAGUCUCUGGUGAAAUCCUGUAGCUUAACUGUGGGAAUUGCUGGAGAUACUAUUAGACUUGAGACCGGGAGAGGUUAGAGGUACUCCCAGGGUAGAGGUGAAAUUCUGUAAUCCUGGGAGGACCGCCUGUUGCGAAGGCGUCUAACUGGAACGGUUUCUGACGGUGAGGGACGAAAGUUAGGGGCGCGAACCGGAUUAGAUACCCGGGUAGUCCUAACUGUAAACGAUGCGGACUUGGUGUCGGGGGUGGCCUUUGAGCUGUUUCCAAUGGCCGGAAGGGAAGCUGUUAAGUCCGCCGGCCUGGGAAGUACGGUCGCAAGACUGAAACUUAAGGAAUUUGGGCCGGGGGGAAGCAC
RNAcentral lists this ribosomal RNA (565 nucleotides) under uncultured archaeon. RNAcentral's name for it is "bacterial SSU rRNA". It matches the Rfam family "Archaeal small subunit ribosomal RNA", at positions 325 to 882 of the family's 1478-position model. The record is from RNAcentral.